UACGUAGGGUGCAAGCGUUGUCCGGAAUUAUUGGGCGUAAAGAGCUCGUAGGCGGUCUGUCGCGUCGGAUGUGAAAAUCCAGGGCUCAACCCUGGACCUGCAUUCGAUACGGGCAGACUAGAGUUCGGUAGGGGAGACUGGAAUUCCUGGUGUAGCGGUGAAAUGCGCAGAUAUCAGGAGGAACACCGGUGGCGAAGGCGGGUCUCUGGCCCGAUACUGACGCUGAGGCACGAAAGCGUGGGGAGCAAACAGG
This 253-nucleotide ribosomal RNA is filed under the name uncultured bacterium. RNAcentral describes it as "partial 16S ribosomal RNA". It matches the Rfam family "Bacterial small subunit ribosomal RNA", at positions 524 to 776 of the family's 1533-position model. The record is from RNAcentral.